Non-coding RNA from Acanthosepion pharaonis, 101 nucleotides. The record is from the annotation of a GenBank genome assembly. Lineage: Eukaryota; Metazoa; Mollusca; Cephalopoda; Sepiida; Sepiidae.
UCACGUUGAAAGAGCGGUUCUCGUUCAAUCACCUAAGUUAAACAACGAUGAGCCCAGUCAGUACCUAGAUGGGUGACCGCUUGGGAAUACUAGCUGAUGUA